UAACAAACCAUGCAUGGUCUCAGGUGCACC
This 30-nucleotide non-coding RNA is filed under the name Mus musculus (house mouse). Lineage: Eukaryota; Metazoa; Chordata; Mammalia; Rodentia; Muridae. The record is from RNAcentral.